Long non-coding RNA from Gallus gallus (chicken), 1043 nucleotides. The record is from Ensembl. Lineage: Eukaryota; Metazoa; Chordata; Aves; Galliformes; Phasianidae.
CAGUGUUCACACUGCAAAAAACAAUAAAUCUUCUAGUACCUUUUGGCAAUAUUCUGUAGAAAUCAAGGAUUGUACAAGCCCUUGAGACUGAAUGGUCCUUUUAACCUCACCCUCUCACUGUAUAAUAGGUGGAUAAGGAACUGUGAGGAGCUUACAUUAUCUGUAUCCCGAUUGGGAUGGUUUUGGUAGCUGCAGCUGUCAGUAUGACUUGUUGUUGUGUUGCUUUCAGAUGUUAGCCACCUGUGUUAGGCCUCUGCACGCACUGACCAAUAGCCUGAUCAGGGCCAAAUGACUGCAGACACACAUUAGACCCCAGUGCAGAACCAUGAGAUACGGGGAAAGGGGUAGAGUCAUAUGUCAACUGUGUGGCAAGGGAGGGCAUACUUCCCCAAGUUUUUAACUCCGAACCACCCUUCUGAGAGUUCAUAACAUACUGCGCAAGUGCGGAGGUGAGAUCAUCCCAUCUCUGGUGAUCAAAGAUCUCCUGGGGGGCUUUAAUCUCCCCCUCCUGCUCUAACUGGGAAAUAACUUCGUGGAUAUCCUUCUUAGAAGGAGCAUUCUUUUCGCAAUAGUCUUUACAAAACUGAAGCAGUACCUUAAGAACAUGUUCCAUAGUCAGCCCGUCGCCGUCACCGCAAAUUCACACUCUACACCGUCGUCCACACGGGUCCUCCAUGGGCGUCCCGUCGUCCCCCCGGACCCCACCGCAACACAGGUUCUACUUGCCGGCCGGCACUAUCGUCGUCACCAUGAUCUUCUGCAGGGCGUCACCCCAAUCGUCUUCUGCAGGCUCCCCUCUCUUCAGGGCACUCGGGCUGGGCAUCACCCCAAAUCUCGUGCUAUGGUGUCACCCCACAGCUCGCAGCAGCACAGAGAGCAUCAGAACACAGUCCGUGCCUCAUGCAUUCCUCACAUGGGGCACCAUUUGUUGCUUUUAGCAACAAUGAUGUUAGCCACCUGUGUUAGGCCUCUGCACGCACUGACCAAUUGCCUGAUCAGGGCCAAAUGACUGCAGACACACACCAAUAUGAUGAGCAGCAAAA